This is a long non-coding RNA of Myotis lucifugus (little brown bat), 1530 nucleotides long. RefSeq lists it as uncharacterized. NCBI's taxonomy places the organism in Eukaryota, Metazoa, Chordata, Mammalia, Chiroptera, Vespertilionidae. The transcript is spliced from 2 exons. The record is from RefSeq and is a predicted model, not a curated record.
UUGAUAACUAGGUGUGUUGUAUGUUUGUCUUGAUAAUUCUUUUGAUAGAAUCAUGUUCCUUAAUAUAGUGCAUGCUGUCUGAAAUAAUCUUGAAAUUCCUUGUCUCUUUUUAAAACCAUCUUGCUUGUUUUUGUUUCCCUUUCAUCACUGUUUCUUUUCUCACCCUUUCUCAAGCUGACUGAAUCUUCUGAUGAGGUAACAAACAGCCUUGUCCCUCAUAGUUUCUUGUUCCUUCCCCUCCCUCUAACUUCGUGAGAUCAUUAAGACUAAUGACCACUUUAACAGUUUGGAUUUGACAUACCUUUCUUGGUGAUUCUUGUAUAACAUAGUUUCAUAUUUCCAUUGCCAAAAAUUUUUUUUUCCAAAUCAGGGGUAUUCUGAAAGAAAUACAGUGAUCAGAGAAAUGAAACAACUAUAGUGAUCAGAGUUAAAAUGAAGACUAAUUGAGUAUGUAUUUUAUGCAAUUUUAAUGAGAAAAUAGAUGCCUUUGAUAUUGAGAACUUCUCUUUCGUUGCCAUUGCUACAUUACAUAGACCUCACUACUACCUCACAUUAGCUGCCCAGCUAACAAUACCACUAUCCCCAGUUUUAAUUCGACCAGUGAACCUUAAAAAGAAUUAGAACCCAGCAUAAAAAACACCUUUCUAGCCUCUGUGAGAACCAACUCCAUUGCUUGACUGAGGACCUCAGACUCUCUUGGGUCUUUGCUAGAAGAAACACAGAAACCAGCACAUUUUCCCUCUUCAUCAGAUGUGUGAAUACGGCCCCCACUUUUCGAAGCAGAUUGCCCGGCUGCAGCCAUGGCUCCACCUGAGGAGGAACUGAAGAGAAUGGGCUCUGCAGAGGAGAGAAGGCAGAACUCUGUGUCAGACUUCCCACCCCCUGCUGGCCGGGAACUCAUUCUGCGCACCACCGUGCCCCGCCCCGCCCCCUACUCCCGAGCUCUGCCUCAGCGCAUGUACAGUGUUCUCACCAAAGAGGAUUUCCGACUGGCAGGUGCUUUUUCAUCAGAUACCUCCUUCUUCUAGUUCUUCCUGGGCCACCCCAUUGUGACUUCAAAGGCAGUGCUGACCCCUUCUGUGGGAAGGAGGUUGUGCUGGUCGGAACCCGGGAGGCAUGAAGAGGGCCUGUCCAGUUGAAUGAUCAAGCGUCGUACUGGCAUCUGAAAGACUUUCUGGUGCCAAGCUUGGGAAGGGUAGUAGCUUGUGGGGUCCGAGGUCAUGGGCUUGAACUAUUGAAAGAUUUCUUCCCCAAAGAGAUGGCCCUUGGGGUGGGGUUGGGGACCAAAAAAUGCAGGAGCUCUCUGUACUCACUCUGUUGUGUUCAAGAUUGUGUUCAUUUAUUCUUUCUGUGACUGUCCCUUAGGCUGUUGCCUUGCAUUUAUAGUCUGUGCAAACACUUCUUAUUUUUAUUAGUAUCAAGUAUGCAAAGUAGAGAAUCUGUUAACUCAGAUUUCUGGGUGUUUGGGAGGUAGAAUCUAUUCCCAGAAUCUGUGUUUUUAAUAUAUUAAAUGGCAUUCUGUUUAUUCAA